AUGGGUGACUAUCUAGCACGGUUCAGAGAGCACGUGUAUGUAGUCUGCGCUGGUGAAUGGAAGCCCCCGCCGCAAAAAAGAAGCGGCUCUUCCCACGGCUCUGUCACCAUUGACUCUAUUUAUUAUUAUGGUAAAUCAUUGUAUCAAGAUGUCAAUCUUAGAUCUUAUUUUAGUUCGAUACGUCCACCUACGAAACUCGCCCUUGGCUUUCGUCUCGGUAGGUGUAUUAUUCUACAUUUUCCCAAAAGGACAUUCAUUCAUUUCUUUCUUCCCGGGCGAUCACCACGACUAAAACGAAAACAAGACAAGAAAUCAAGACCCGUACUACAGGAAAAGGGCUGGUGGCCGACAUUUGGGAAAGUCGGGCCGAUCGGGUGUCUUCAUUCAAGCGAGGGUACAGAGGAAGAACGAAACGAAGUGAGAGGCCGGGGGGCAGGGAAAAGAGUCGAGUCGAUCGACCGGGAGAAGCAAAACGAAAUCCGGAUUUGGCCGAAAAAGAUGCAACGUUAUGGAUACCAUGACCGAUCACCAUCGAGAAAGAAGAAUUUUGAUAAAUCACUUCGGGUGAGCGGGGCCUUCAAGCGGCCUCAAUACGCCGGGGUUGUAAAUGACAUACCUUUCCUUAUGGGAAAUGCCGCCUCCUUACUAAAAAGGAAUAGAAUCAAGUUAUUUUUACCAAAG
This 681-nucleotide ribosomal RNA is filed under the name Triticum aestivum (bread wheat). RNAcentral describes it as "partial small subunit ribosomal RNA". The record is from RNAcentral. Lineage: Eukaryota; Viridiplantae; Streptophyta; Magnoliopsida; Poales; Poaceae.